AGCAAUGCACUCAGACUCCUCUCUGCUGUGGAGAGCUUUUUUUUUUUUUUUUCAUAUUAAACUUUCACUCCAACUUUAUCUUUGUGUUUACAAUUCUUAAUUUUUUUGUCUUGGAUAAAGAACAAAAAACCUGGAGUACUUCUUCAGACAACAAGAAACUUCCAAAUUAAGGUGCAUUGGCAAGAAUGCAACAUAUUUUGAUCCAUUGGCUUGGAAGGAGGGAAUUCAUCAGAAGGGUGAGUAAGAGCCGACUUUUACCUUUAACUAUUUACAUUCAUCUAUGAGUCUUCUCAUCUAUUCCAAUCUAGUUUCCUUUCACAGAGGACCUAAGCCAACAUGUGGGAUUGGAAGAAGGUCCUAGGAAAAUUCAAGAUUUCUGGCUGGGACUAACCCUCAGUGUUAUCUGAAGGUCCUCAGUGUUAUCUGAAGACUACUCCAAUCCUUGACAGCCCACCAGUGUGUCAGCACAAGGACCUUCCCUCUUACAUUUUCCUUCUUUUCUCCCAUGGCUAUUAUGUCACCUAUCUCUUCAUUGUAUACAAUGUUGCAGGUGUUUUUUCAGCCUAGAGAUAUAAUCUUGCUUGGUAGAGUAAGUUGGUGUCUUUUUUUGUAACCAGGAAUGUAACUUCAAGAAACUGUGUUUUUGUGAUUUCCUCGAGACAGAGGAGUUCAAGAUUUCUGUCUAAGUAUUCACUUAGUAAGGUCUCUUCUACCCCUCAAUAAUAGACAUUCAUGACACUAUAUGGUCAAAUAUUUCACCCCAAGUGAAUAUCCUCUUUUCUCUCCAUUUGGAUUGUUUCUUCCCUCUACAUUUGGGUUGGUUUUUCCCUCCCCAUUUGGGUUGGUUUUUCCCUCCAUGUAAAAUCCCAGCAUUGCCCAAUAAAUUUAAACAAUUCUUUAUGAAACAAGUUAAUUUUCUUGUGCUGGGAGGAAUAUUAUAGGAACAGCCAAUUAAACUGAAACCUCUUUUUCUAACUUCUGCCUGAAAGGAUGGAGUCACAGUUUUUACCUAAUAUUUCAGACCCUACAGCACUACGUAGGGGAAUGGGAUUUAUUUUUCCCCACUGGGAGCCUUGUUGGCCCUUUGUCUAAAAACUCUGGUUAUCUCCCUUUUAUAUCCCUCUAUUAGAGACUAGGCUUCAUGCCCCAUUUGAAAACAGCAAAGCUCCAGCUUUAACAGUAAGAGGACGGCCAUUCCAUUUAUAUGUUCUUUUAAGGCACCUGUUCUACAUUCAGCUACAUUGGCAUUUACACCAGAAAUGGGUUUUAUGUUUGAAAGUGAAUCAGUCUCAUUCUUUGGGGUUUCAAUGUUUCACUAGGGCCAUAGCAAGGGAAACCAAAGAUAAUACUAAAACACUUCCUCCAUUAAGGAGGGAAGUCCAGCAGAUGCCCAGAUGCAACUGUCACAUAGUCUUUCCUGAGACCCAUCCAUCAAGGAGUGACCCAGACCCAAGUCUACGAGGUCAAAGAAUAAUCACCAUCAGAGGACUAAAGCCACUUGGGUGAGCAUGGCUUGCCCCAUUGCUUAGCUCCUCUGCUACCAUCAUUUGAAGGUCACACUUGAAACCACUGGUGGCAUAUUCAACACAAUGCUGGGACCCAGGAGCCAAGGAGAAAUAACAGUCUGUGGGACACUCCUACUGUCUUCUUCUCCUCCCUGGGUCACACUGAAAAAAAGCAGGAGACAGAGGGAUGCCUCUUUUCUUGUCUAUUUUUCUAGAGAGGUGACAGUCCAACUUUAAUCUGCACCCCUCUGAGUGCACUCUGAAACUUUUAGAACUACUUUGACCCGAUGACUUUGAAGAAAAAGGUGACCAUUUUCUUUUGCACGAGAGCAUGACAUUUUUUACUAAACCUUCACAAGCAUUAUGAGAUCAACCCAGCUUUUUUAACAGUCAUGGCAGGUAGUCCCAUGGAGAAUAAUUCCGCAGAGUUAGAAAAGCAAUUUCUAAAGAAACCAUCUCAGAAUGCCCCUUAUUAAUCACCACCUCAAGUUUUCUUUUCAUUGCAGGAACUUACACAAAUAAAGGGGGAACUAGGUAGGUUCUCUGAUGACCCUAAUAAACAUAGAGAGGUUUUCCAAAAUUUGACCCAAAUGUUUCAUGUUACAUGGAGAGAUGCUAUGCUACAUUUAAGCCAAAACCCUAACUGUUACAGAAAAGCAGGCAGUCUUGCAGGCAGCAGAAACAUUUGGAGAUAAACAGCGUAACUCCUAUAGCCAGUCUAAAAAUCUUGAAAGGAAAAAAUCUAAGGGAUAAAAGAGGAUAAGGAGAGACAGGGUCCCCAUUCCCAAUAGUAAGAAAAAUGAGGCUCCCUUAAAAGCCCUAAUUGGAGCCUGAGUGAUCUCAUAAAUGAGUGGAAAUUAAAAGAAUUUCUGAUAUACAUUUAAAAAGACUUGGAAAUAAGCAGAACAAGACCUCUUAAUUACUCUCAACUGUAUGAGUUGCACCAGAAAAUAUAUGGAAAUCCACCUGCCUUCUUGGAGAGACUGAGAGAAGCUUUAGUAAGACACACUUCCCUGUCUUCCAGUUCAGUAAAAAACAGGUUCAAUACUCAGGCAGCCCCUGAUAUCAGAAGAAAGUUGCUGAAAUAGGCCCUGUCUAAAAAUCUUUCUAGUUUUUCUCACCAAACAAUCCCACAUUCCUAAGCCCUCUCCACUGUACUGUCUCAUUCACAAUCUUGCAAAACUUGACAGAAGCAUUUAGUCUUUUACUGUAACAUGGCCUGGUCCCAAUACACAUUAGAUAAUGACAGUCGAUGGCCCAAAAAUCAUACCUUUGACUUGCAAAUUCUCAGGAAGCUUAACAACUUUACAGCGAGGGAUGGCAAAUGGCAACUGGUUCUCUAUAUUCAGGCUUUCUUUGAUGUCUACCUUAAAUGUAACCUUCCACUGUGUCAAGCUUGCACUGCUCAUAAAAUCUUUCUUUUUAAUAAAAAUCCUCCCCAGGUCUUUCCUUACUAUGAAACUCCUUUUAACCCAGUAGAUAAAGCCCCUCUGUAUUCUUAUUCCCUGCAUCGACUCCUUGCCCAUCCAAAUCCUCUACCCCAGUGGCCCCUCCUGCCUCCAAACCCUUAGCCCCCAACCCAACUACUCGUUCUCCAUCUGUUACCAAUUCAAAAAUCACAUCUGCCUUUCCCUUUCUGGGAAGUGGCUGUGGUUAAAGGCAUUGCUCACAUUAAUUUCCCUUUCUCCAUGUAGGAUUUGUUGCAGAUCAAAGCUGAAUCAAACUUGACUUACAAAGCAAAAAGGCCCUUGGAAAACUCACUGCAUAUUUUGUGUACACAGUCCCUGUACAUGGUUUCUGAUCUGUGGUAAGUAAAAAAAUUACUUUCUAGCAGGCUGGGAAGCCCAAGUUAUCUUGGUCCCUCAAGAGAAGAGAAAUUCUCCAACUAAUAGGUAUUGGACAGUAAAAAUCCAUGGCUGGGCUUCGCUUUAAAAAGGUCUUAUCUCAGAUUCCUUCUUUGAAACAAAGUGCCAUAUAAACCAAUUUAAUAGGCAGAUGUAACAAAUAAUUAUUCUUGCUGCACUGUAUGCAAAUAACUGUCAAGUAUAGUAAAGCAAACCAGUCCUAUUAUAAUUUGUCUUUUAAUAAAAAUGGGAAACUGGAGAGACAAAAUUAUGUUUCAAAAAUGAUAGCACAUGGAUUGUUGAAUUCUAGUGUUUCCUAAUGUUUUUCUAUUUUUAUUAUUUUCCACUGCUUAAAUUAAACUCUAAUUUUUCUGGAUAUAAGUUUCCAUAUUAAGCUGUGAUUUCUUAAAGCCCUACAAACUGAAAAGUAAGUGUUUCAUCAAGUACUGCCUCUAACACAGGGCCACCACAGGAAUAAAUGUCUUCACUGCUGGUGCUGACAACUAAUAACUGAGGGUGCUGAGAAAACUUUCCCCCAAAGUCUAGUGAGUCCAUGAAAUGCAGGGUGAUUAAGAUGAUAUCUGAUACAGGAGUCAAUUCCUAAAUACAUCACUCAAGUCAAAGCCUAGAAAUCUAAGAAAGCAACCCAAACAGCCCAAAGAAACACCCUAAAUAUCAAUGUAAAAAAAUAGAAAAUAUUAAGCUGAAAAUCAUAAAAGAUAGGUGACUAAGUGAAAACUACUCAUUUUAUUCAGCCUCACACACCUCACCAAAUACUUUUGGUGUGUCUACCUCUUUUUUUAAGCCAAAUAUUAAAACAUUUUAAUGGAAAUUAUUUACUUUGCCACCCUUGUGGGAACUGCCUUACUCACUGCUAUUUGCAGUAGAACAAUAUGCUAUAGCAUCCUCAGGGUGGAAUAUCAGACAAAAAAAUCUCAAUUAUUAUAGCAUUUUCCCUAAUUAUUAUCCAGAUAGCAGGAAUAAUAGUUACUAAAAGAAAGUAACACAUGAGUUCUUCCAAACACAUGCUUCUGCCUCUCAUCAGGUAACAAAUGUUUCUAUAGCAACGAAUAGGGCUUAGUAAAAAACACUGCUAAAAACUUAAAGAAAAGGCUAAAAAGCUAAGGGAAUAUCAAAACAACCGAAUAGAUUCUUGGUUUGGAUUCAAAAUCAUAGGAUGAGUCAUCCCAUUCCUGGGACCUCUUCUAAUAAUAUACCUGGAACUAAUGUUCUUACCUUGCCUAAUUAACUUUUUUCAAAGAUUUUUAACUGAAAAUAUCAUGGCCAUUUUACAGACAACUACCCCAAAAUAUCUACAAAUGACAUUGCUCCUACAGUAAACCCAAGACCAGAAAACUCUCCAUCCCCUUGUCAGCAGGAAGUAGCCUGCAGUCCCUCCUCCUUUUUAUAACCAUAGGAUCUGGAUUGACAGAGCAGGACCACCACCUUGUUGGAACAACCCCUCAUUCUAAAGCUGACCUCAAUAAAAAACUGCUUAAAUCCAAAGGGUGUCAGCCUAAUGGCUAAGGUCAGCAUGACCAUAAACCACAGAUAACUUCUCUAACCAGAAACAUUCCAAACUCCUCCCCAACCAGAGAUAGGGUAGUCCUGAGAUAAACUCUGCUCUGGCUGGGAAAAUGCUAGCCCUGAGAUAACCCCCUUCUUGGUCAGAAAGAUGUCUGCCCCAAGAUAACCUUACCUCCUGCCAGAGAGAUUCCAACUCCGCUAUAAACUUCUCCACACACAUAAACAUUCCAAGCUUGUGAUAAGCCCCCUCAACCUAAAAGUGAUAUAUACUCAGCUUUUAAGAGAAAGUACUCCUGACUGAAAUUGGCCAGAAGCACCUCUCAGGUUUCCUCUAAAGAAAACCUGUCUUUACCUGCCAGCCGCAUUUCUUGUUUCUUUCCUCUUUAACUCCUACAGAAAUAAAAGCACAACAAGGUUUUCUUAAGAUUUCAAUGUGCUUUUUAGAAAAUCUUGUGAAGAGUUAUAAAAGGUACAUGAAAAUCUCACAUCAUGAUCAAACUGGUUAAAAUUGAAUAGGAUUACCUAUAAGCUUUCAUUAAAAAUUGGGGUUAACCAUUAAUAGUAAAAUAAUGCAAGGGUGAAAUUUAACUUGCUUGAACAGGGUUUUCAUGUAAUAGUAAAGACUGAUGAAUGGUUUUUGGCUUUUCAAAUUUUGACUCAUCAUUUUGGCAAGACAAAUAACUAUGUUAAUCUAAAAUUGUAUUUCAUAACAUCAAGUGUUUUAAAUUUCAAAUAUAUUUAACAGGCUUACCAAAAUCAAACUACAGUCUCAAGGUUGUCUUUCAUGACCUAGGGGUUUGGGUGCUACCGAGGACCCCUGGAGCAUCCAGAAGAGAGUUAAACAGGAUUAUUUAACAUGUUUGCAUACAUGAUGUCAGGCCUCUGAGCCCAAGCUAAGCCAUUAUAUUCCCUGUGACAUGAACGUAUACAUCCAGAUGGCUGAAAACAACUGAAGAUCCACAAAAGAAGUGAAAAUAGCCUUAACUGAUGACAUUCCAUGAUUGUGAAGUUUCUACCCCACCCUAACCGAUCAAUGUACUUUGUAAUCUCCCCCACCAUUAAGAAGGUUCUUUGUAAUUCUCCCGACCCCUGAGAAUAUACUUUGUGAGAUCCACCCACUGCCCACAAAACAUUUCUCCUAACUCCACCGUCUAUCCCAAAAGCUAUAAGAACUAAUGAUAAUUCCACCACCCUUUGCUGACUCUCUUUUUGGACUCAGCUCACCUGCACCCUGGUGAAAUAAACAGCCUGUUGCUCACACAAAGCUUGUUUGGUGACCUCUUCACAUGGAUGUAUGAGACACAUGCAAUUGCCAAAAUGAUAUUUAAUAUUUUCCAGGUUAUAUUUUGGGCAAUAAUAUUAACAUAUAUUUCAAAAUCAUAUAGGAUUUCUAAGGUUCUAGUAUCUGAACAUGUGCUAUUAAUCACAAUUAAGUGUGUUAAGUUGGUUUAUGGUGAACCAUAAAAAUAACCAAAUUUGUCCAACAUGUUCUUGACUGUAACUACCCUGGAAAUUUUGUCAUUUACUGACAAUUUUUGUCUUGUUUCAAUCUUCUUCUUCUUAAAAAAAAAUAGAUUAUAAUCAGCUGUAGAACUUUAACAGGGAUUCUUUCAAAUGCUGGUUUCUAAUAACAGAAAAACUUACAGGACACAUGAAAAGUAGAAACUGAACUAGUAGAAAACUAAAGCAAUAUUCUUGACUUAUGCUUGGAACAUUGCUGAUUCUUAUUUUGUUUUUCAGAGUCAAGGACACUUGUCUUGAGCUAGCUACACCCUUUCACAACUCAGUAAGGAGUGAAGACUGAUUUUGCAGAGCCAAUAAAGGCCCCUGGGGAAACUGGCCUCAUAUCUUGUCAUGAAGAUUUUAUACAGGUUUCCUAACCUGUGUGCUCACUGCUGCAAAGAAGAACAAGCACACAGGCAAAAAGUUUUCCCAGCAAGAACACUGCAGAUUUGAAUCCCACAGCUGUUUCAUUUCAAGCUUUAAAUUCAUCUGGUAACCCUCAUGGAACUCCAAUAGCAUCUAUAUAAAUGUGAGUGUCAAAAGACCAAUGAUGAGCACUUCUUUGUAUCCAGUUCUCUUUCUUUUUAUGUUGACAGAAUGCCAGGGUGAAAGGAAAGAUCAAUUGGACCAGAGCACAAGUGCUGCUCCAGUUACUUGGCAGAGUACCUAAUAGUGAUCCACCACAAUACCACCAUAUAUCUGUUUGGGAAUAAACAAGGGCAAGUUGACUGCUUAAGAGUGAUGACAUGCAACUCAGUCUCUUGCAACACCACCUGAGAAAAGGAAGCACUAGCAGGAAGAACAAAUUGAUGGAGAGGAAAAGUGAUGAAUACAGAUAAGAAGCACAGCUGGUGGAGGCUCAUGUGCCAGUUUACUGGGCCUCAGGACAUUCUCCUCUAGAAGGAGGAGACAGCAUGACCCCCACUUUCUUUUAUUUUAUUAUAAUUUAAGUUUUAGGGUACAUGAGCACAAUGUGCAGGUUAGUUACAUAUGUAUACAUGUGCCAUGCUGGUGUGCUACAGCCAUUAACUCAUCAUUUAGCAUUAGGUAUAUCUCCUAAUGCUAUCCCUCCCCCCUACCCCUACCCCACAACAGCCCCCAGAGUGUGAUGUUCCCCUUCCUGUGUCCAUGUGUUCUCAUUGUUCAAUUCACACCUAUGAGUGAGAAUAUGUGGUGUUUGGUUUUUUGUCCUUGUGAUAGUUUACUGAGAAUGAUGAUUUCCAAUUUCAUCCAUGUCCCUACAAAGGACAUGAACUCAUCAUUUUUUAUGGCUGCAUAAUAUCCCAUGGUGUGUAUGUGCCCCAUUUUCUUAAUCCAGUCUAUCAUUGUUGGGCAUUUGGGUUGGUUCCAAGUCUUUGCUAUUGUGAAUAGUGCCGCAAUAAAUGUACGUGUGCAUAUGUCUUUAUAGCAGCAUGAUUUAUAGUCCUUUGGGUAUAUACCCAGUAAUGGGAUGGCUGGGUCAAAUGGUAUUUCUAGUUCUAGAUCCCUGAGAAAUCACCAAACUGACUUCGACAAUGGUUGAACUAGUUUACAGUCCCACCAACAGUGUUAGUCCAUUUACAUUUAAAGUUAAUAUUAUUAUGUGUGAAUUUGAUCCUGUCAUUAUGAUGUUAGCUGGUUAUUUUGCUCGUUAGUUGAUGCAGUUUCUUCCUAGCUUUGAAGGUCUUUACAAUUUGGCAUGGUUUUGCAGUGGCUGAUACCGGUUUUUCCUUUCCAUGUUUAGUGCUUCCUUCAGGAGCUCUUUUAGAGCAGUAAUCUCUCAGCAUUUGCUUGUCUGUAAAGUAUUUUAUUUCUCCUUCACUUAAGAAGCUUAGUUUGGCUGGAUAUGAAAUUCUGGAUUGAAAAUUCUUUUCUUUAAGAAUGUUGAAUAUUGGCCCCCACUCUCUUCUGGCUUGCAGAGUUUCUGCCAAGACAUCAGCUGUUAGUCUGAUGGGCUUCCCUUUGUGGGUAACCUGACCUUUCUCUCUGGCUGCCCUUAACAUUUUUUCCAUCAUGUCAACUUUGGUGAAUCUGACAAUUAUGUGUCUUGGAGUUGCUCUUCUUCAGGAGUAUCUUCAUGGCAUUCUCUGUAUUUCCUGAAUCUGAAUGUUGGCCUACCUUGCUAGAUUGGCGAAGUUCUCCUGCAGAGUGUUUUCCAACUUGGUUCCAUUCUCCGCAUCACUUUCAGGUACACCAAUGAGACGUAGAUUUGGUCUUUUCACAUAGUCCCAUAUUUCUUGGAGGCUUUGUUCGUUUCUUUGUAUUCUUUUUUCUCUAAACUUCCCUUCUUGCUUCAUUUCAUUCAUUUCAUCUUCCAUCACUGAUACCCUUUCUUCCAGUUGAUUGCAUCAGCUCCUGAGGCUUCCUCAUUCUUCACGUAGUUCUCAAGCCUUGGCUUUCAGCUCCAUCAGCUCUUUUAAGCACUUCUCUGUAUUGGUUAUUCUAGUUAUACAUUCGUCUAAAUUUUUUUCAAAGUUUUCAACUUCUUUGCCUUUGAUUUGAAUUUCCUCCUGUAGCUCGAAGUAGUUUGAUCGUCUGAAGCCUUCUUCUCUCAACUCGUCAAAAUCAUUCUCCAUCCAGCUUUGUUCCAUUGCUGGUGAAGAAUUGCGUUCCUUUGGAGGAGGAGAGGCGCUCUGCUUUUUAGAGUUUCCAGUUUUUCUGCUGUGUUUUUUCCCCAUCUUCGUGGGUUUAACUACUUUUGGUCUUUGAUGAUGGUGAUGUACAGAUGGGUUUUUGGUGUGGAUGUCCUUUCUGUUUGUUAGUUUUCCUUCUAACAGACAGGACCCUCAGCUGCAGGUCUGUUGGAGUUUUCUAGAGGACCACUCCAGAUCCCGUUUGCCUGGGUAUCAGCAGCGGUGGCUGCAGAACAGCAGAUUUUCAUGAACCACGAAUGCUGCUGUCUGAUGGCUCCUCUGGAAGUUUUGUCUCAGAGGAGUACCUGGCCAUGUGAGGUGUCAGUCUGCCCCUACUGGGGGGGUGCCCCCCAGUUAGGCUGCUCGGGACCCCCAAUUUGUUUGUGUAUCUCAGGGUGAGUUUGUGCCAUUUUCUGUUAGCCUUAUUGGUCUCUGUGUCUGUGGUGCACUUCAUUCAUCAGCGUCUGUGUUUGUUUGCAUUUUUUACUUGUCUCUCCAUCUAUUUCUCUGAUUUUGUUACAUUUUACAUUUUAAGUUUCAUUAUAUUUUCCAUUCACAUAUUAUACAUGCACAACUAUAUGGCAGACCAUGUUAUUUUAAAACAUGCAUACAAUAUACCAAAUAAUGGUAUUUAUUCAUCUCCUCUAAUGUUCCUCGUGAUUAGAACCCUAGGAAUUCUCUCUUCUAUUUAGAAAUAUAUAAUGCAUUGUUAUUAAAAAUAGUGACCCUGCUGUGCAAUGGAAUACCAUUGCUUCUUUUUUUUCAAUUUAACUACUUUUUUUGUAUUUAUUUACCAACUUCUUCCUAUCCCUACAUUUCUAAUUCUUUCUAGACCCCCAUAACCACUAUUCUUCCCUAUAAUUCUAUGAGAAAAUUUUUUAGAUUCCACAUAUAGGUCAGAUAAUGUGUUAUUUUUAUUCCUACACCUAGGUUAUUUUGCUUAGUUACAUGUAAAGGAAUAUACAUGGUAUGUGGCAUGGCAAAUGAUAAAAGUUCAUUUUUAAUAGAUAUAUACUAUUUCAUUGUGUGUGUGUGUACAUAUACCACAUUUUAAAUUCAUUUGUCUGUUUAUGAACAUCCAGGUUUAAUAUUGUAUUGUUCAUGGUGAAUAGUGCUGUAAUAAACAAAAAAGAGCAAAUAUUUAUUUGACAUGCUAAUUUUCUUUCCCUUGCCUACAUACUCAGUGGUGCAGAUUGUUCAGUCAUGUGGAAACUUUCAUGUAAAUUUUUUAGAGAUCUACAGAAUGUCUUCCAUACUGAUUCUACUAAUUUACAUUCCAUCCAAGAGGAUGUUUUGUGCAGUUCCCCACUUUUCUUUUCUCCACAUCCCUGGCAAUACUUGUUAUUCUUUUGCAAUUUUUAGUUAUAUCCAUUAUUAUUCUAAUAGAUUCACUGAGCUGAAAGGACUUGUCAUAUUUUCUUAUGGGUUUUCCUGGCAUUUCUCCAAUAAAAAUUAUGUUGAACUUUUAUUUAGAAAUGUGUUGGAAGUAUCUGUGUCAUUUUUGGAGAAAUGUCUAUUUACAUCUUUUGAACAUUUUUAAUUAGAAAAUUUUUGGCUAUUGUUUCUUAUUUGUUCUGGAUACUAAGUUUUUUUCUUUUUUUUCCUUUUGUUUUGGAGAUGGAGUCUUACUCUGUCACCCAGGCUGGAGUGCAGUGAUGCAACCUUGGCUCACGGCAACCUCUGCUUCCCAGAUCAAACGAUUCUCCUACCUCAGCCUCCUGAGUAGCUGGGAUUACAGGUGUGUGCCACCACACCCA
RNAcentral lists this long non-coding RNA (10748 nucleotides) under Homo sapiens (human). RNAcentral describes it as "HSALNT0409543". Lineage: Eukaryota; Metazoa; Chordata; Mammalia; Primates; Hominidae. The record is from RNAcentral.